Molecule: ribosomal RNA, 497 nt
Filed under: uncultured bacterium
Lineage: Bacteria
Description: partial 16S ribosomal RNA
Rfam family: Bacterial small subunit ribosomal RNA
Source: RNAcentral
GACGAACGCUGGCGGCGUGCCUAAUACAUGCAAGUUGAGCGAUGAAGAUUGGUGCUUGCACCAAUUUGAAGAGCAACGAACGGGUGAGUAACGCGUGGGGAAUCUGCCUUUGAGCGGGGGACAACAUUUGGAAACGAAUGCUAAUACCGCAUAACAACUUUAAACAUAAGUUUUAAGUUUGAAAGAUGCAAUUGCAUCACUCAAAGAUGAUCCCGCGUUGUAUUAGCUAGUUGGUGAGGUAAAGGCUCACCAAGGCGAUGAUACAUAGCCGACCUGAGAGGGUGAUCGGCCACAUUGGGACUGAGACACGGCCCAAACGCCUACGGGAGGCAGCAGUAGGGAAUCUUCGGCAAUGGACGAAAGUCUGACCGAGCAACGCCGCGUGAGUGAAGAAGGUUGUCGGAUCGUAAAACUCUGUUGGUAGAGAAGAACGUUGGUGAGAGUGGAAAGCUCAUCAAGUGACGGUAACUACCCAGAAAGGGACGGCUAACUACGUG